UACGUAGGGGGCAAGCGUUGUCCGGAAUCAUUGGGCGUAAAGAGCGUGUAGGCGGCUCGGUAAGUCCGCUCUGAAAGCCCGGGGCUCAACCCCGGGAGGCGGGCGGAUACUGUCGGGCUAGAGUCCGGAAGAGGCGAGUGGAAUUCCUGGUGUAGCGGUGAAAUGCGCAGAUAUCAGGAGGAACACCAAUGGCGAAAGCAGCUCGCUGGGACGGUACUGACGCUGAGACGCGAAAGCGUGGGGAGCAAACAGG
This 253-nucleotide ribosomal RNA is filed under the name uncultured bacterium. RNAcentral describes it as "partial 16S ribosomal RNA". It matches the Rfam family "Bacterial small subunit ribosomal RNA", at positions 524 to 776 of the family's 1533-position model. The record is from RNAcentral.